This 77-nucleotide transfer RNA is filed under the name Pseudonocardiaceae bacterium YIM PH 21723. RNAcentral's name for it is "tRNA-Met". It matches the Rfam family "tRNA". Rfam says of the family: Transfer RNA (tRNA) molecules are approximately 80 nucleotides in length. Their secondary structure includes four short double-helical elements and three loops (D, anti-codon, and T loops). The record is from RNAcentral. Lineage: Bacteria; Bacillati; Actinomycetota; Actinomycetes; Pseudonocardiales; Pseudonocardiaceae.
CGCGGGGUGGAGCAGCUCGGUAGCUCGCUGGGCUCAUAACCCAGAGGUCAUAGGUUCGAAUCCUAUCCCCGCUACAA